This 67-nucleotide transfer RNA is filed under the name Faunus ater. Its description in RNAcentral is "tRNA-Thr". It matches the Rfam family "tRNA". From Rfam's summary of the family: Transfer RNA (tRNA) molecules are approximately 80 nucleotides in length. Their secondary structure includes four short double-helical elements and three loops (D, anti-codon, and T loops). The record is from RNAcentral. Lineage: Eukaryota; Metazoa; Mollusca; Gastropoda; Thiaridae.
GCGAUUGUAGCUCAUAAAGAGCAUUGGUCUUGUAAGCCAAAGGUAGAAUUAUUUUAUUCCUAUCGCU